GGGACCGUGGGUUAGCCUGGUAUACUUACAGCCUUGGGUGCUGUCGACCCCGGUUCGAAUCCGGGCGGUCCCA
This 73-nucleotide transfer RNA is filed under the name Halobacteriales archaeon QH_9_66_26. Its description in RNAcentral is "tRNA-Pro". It matches the Rfam family "tRNA". From Rfam's summary of the family: Transfer RNA (tRNA) molecules are approximately 80 nucleotides in length. Their secondary structure includes four short double-helical elements and three loops (D, anti-codon, and T loops). The record is from RNAcentral. Lineage: Archaea; Methanobacteriati; Methanobacteriota; Halobacteria; Halobacteriales.